This is an RNA transcript of Etheostoma cragini (Arkansas darter), 2301 nucleotides long. It is a transcript of the gene named WAP four-disulfide core domain 1, with no coding region annotated. NCBI's taxonomy places the organism in Eukaryota, Metazoa, Chordata, Actinopteri, Perciformes, Percidae. The transcript has 7 exons. The record is from RefSeq and is a predicted model, not a curated record.
CCCAGAGACAUGUGCAUAAGCUGUGCCAGCAGACAGUUUCAGCUCUCUGCAACUGAUGCACAGACAACUGCUGUUUCUCCCUUCCCCUGCUCCCCUAACUAUUCUCCUUCUUUCGUUUCUUCAUUCAUCCCCUCUGUACUUUCCCCUUUCUUCCCUCUACUUUGUCAUUUUGUCCUGCACUUUUCCUCAGGCGGUUAUAAAGGCAGGUCUCAUUGGAGAGAGAGAGCUUGUGUAAUCACUGGCUGCACAUGAGCACCAAUGAGUUAUUGCUUCAGCUGGAAAGGCACCACGGACGCGUAGAGGACAAACUCUGGAAUAAGGAGAGAAAGAAGGACUACCUCUGAAACAGGAAGGGAGGAGAAGGGAGGGAGACGCAGAAAGUGUUUGGAACUGAGGUGCAGGACACAGACCAUGCCAGGCUCUGUGGUGCUGCUACUGCUGUCCCUGUUGGUACUGGCCACAGGAAGUGAUGCCAGGAGAAUCAGGAAAAGAGGACUCAACCACAAGGACUACGAGUACCCCAACCAUCCCCAGUCCACCCAGCACCAGAAGAAUGACCGUUGUCCACCGCCACCCCAGAUGUUGCCGGAGAGAGCCUGUGAGGUGCCGGGCUGCCGCUCAGACUCAGAGUGUGAGCGCCAUAAACGUUGCUGCUACAAUGGAUGCAUCUACGCCUGCCUGGAGUCUGUCCAGCCGCCACCAGUGUUGGACUGGCUGGUGCAGCCCAAGCCUCGGUGGUUGGGCGGAAACGGCUGGCUGUUAGAUGGCCCUGAGGAGGUUCUGCAGGCUGAGGCCUGCAGCACAACUGAGGAUGGAGACGAGCCUCUUCAUUGUCCUACGGGCUACGAGUGCCACAUCAUCAAUCCAGGAAACCCUGCCGCUGGCAUUCCUAACCGGGGACAAUGCAUCAAGCAACGUGGCAACUCCGAUGGACGUGGUCUGAGGCACAAAUACUUCAAGGACUACAAGGACUACAUAGGUAAGUGAGGUACCAGUACGAACAAUGCAGUGGGCUACGAAAAACAUCAUCACAAGCUGGGAUGAAAUCAACCAGACCUCAGCCUCAGCUACAACCAUGACACAACUCCAGACAUCAGACUCCAGGACUCCAGUCCUGUUCAAUCGGCUCUCAUCACACCCGAACCAGGAUCAGAUCUGCCCUUUUUACCAAAACUACAGCUGCUACCUCCUCUCUGGCAGCCUGUCCUCAGUUACAAAGUCCUUUUUGGAGACAAGUCUGACUUACAUACCACAUACACAGCCAAAGAAAUAAGUGCACAUUUUGUCUCUCUGUCUGAUGGCUGUAAGAAAAGAUGGAGCAGAGGGUGUUGAUGGCAAAGCAGAAGAGAGGAGAGCAGGGCAUGCACCAAAGCUGUUCAUUAAAUGUCUCAAAAAGGAAACAACAGGCCCUUGCCAAUUUCUUUCUUUUUUCUUCACAACCCUGUCCCUCCCUGCUACUCAUUAAUAUUCUCCUCAACGCAUCUUUACGCUUAAGGCUGGUCAGCGGAGAAAAUCCAGACCAUGUGUUAUCUUCUGUCUCACGGUGCUCACAUUCCCUGGUCUGAAAUCUGGAACGUUUUAUAGACAAAUAUACUGAAUCAAAUCCACAUGAAAGAAGAAAAGCCAUACUGUAAGAGUGUGUGGAUUGUGUCACUUUUCAAGGAUUUGAAACAGCUGUAGAUUAGUUGCAGCCAACAGAUGCUGACCAUAACUGCAUUGCUGUGAAAAUAAAACACAAAAUAAGGAAGAAUAUUGCAUUUGAGAGAGAUAAAGAUUUAAAGACAUGCUCCACUUGUGACAAAAUUAGAAUUUUCCUACUGAAAGGUUGUCCCUUUAAUAUUAAAUUAUGUAUAUAUUAUAUCUGUGAUUGUGAUGUCCUAGUCACACAACAACCAUCUACCAGUGCAGUAUGGUUGUGCACACAUCAUACUGCCUUAUUUCAAAGUACUGGUCCUUGUAUUAAACUUCCCACUAUGCAGUGCAGCCAUGAUAAUAAAAAGGCCGUUUUCCCCGGGGAAAUAUUUCAAACUGGUCAAAAGAUCUUCUGUGUUGUUCUCAAGCAUAACUUGCAGUCAACUGUUUAAGCUUAGGUUGUCUAAUAUCAAUUCAAAUGGUGCUCAGCUUCAUUGCUGCCUAUAAUAACAGGAGAAUAAGCUGCUUGCCUAAUAAGCUGAAGAUGUCAAACGGUGAGCUGUAACCAUCUCUAUGUGCAGAGCCAAAGUGAUGUCUGAUAAUUGCUUCUAUCUGACUGGUGCUGUAACGUUGCCUUGUUUAUUCUAAAUAAACCACAUUGUUGAAGUC